CCUACGGGAGGCAGCAGUGGGGAAUAUUGGGCAAUGGGCGCAAGCCUGACCCAGCAAUGCCGCGUGAAGGAAGAAGGCUUUCGGGUUGUAAACUUCUUUGACAGGGGAAGAGCAGAAGACGGUACCCUGAAAACAAACCAUGGCUAAACACGUGCCAGCAGCCGCGGUAAUACGUAGGUGGCAAGCGUUGUCCGGAAUUACUGGGUGGAAAGGGCGUGUAGCCGGGAAUGAAAGUCAGAUGUGAAAUCAGGAGGCUCAACCUCCGAAUUGCAUUUGAAACUGUUUUUCUGGAGUACUGGAGAGGUAGACGGAAUUCCUUGUGUAGCGGUGAAAUGCGUAGAUAUAAGGAAGAACACCAGUGGCGAAGGCGGUCUGCUGGACAGCAACGGACGGUGAGGCGCGAAAGCGUGGGGAGCAAACAGGAUUAGAUACCCGGGUAGUC
This 442-nucleotide ribosomal RNA is filed under the name uncultured bacterium. RNAcentral's name for it is "partial 16S ribosomal RNA". It matches the Rfam family "Bacterial small subunit ribosomal RNA", at positions 338 to 795 of the family's 1533-position model. The record is from RNAcentral.